Molecule: ribosomal RNA, 457 nt
Filed under: uncultured Gemmatimonas sp.
Lineage: Bacteria; Pseudomonadati; Gemmatimonadota; Gemmatimonadia; Gemmatimonadales; Gemmatimonadaceae
Description: bacterial SSU rRNA
Rfam family: Bacterial small subunit ribosomal RNA
Source: RNAcentral
CCUACGGGGGGCUGCAGUGGGGAAUAUUGCGCAAUGGGCGAAAGGCUGACGCAGCGACGCCGCGUGGGGGAUGAAGCAUUUCGGUGUGUAAACCCCUGUUGCCCGGGACGAACAACUGGUUUCGACCAGUCUGACGGUACCGGGUGAGGAAGCACCGGCUAACUCCGUGCCAGCAGCCGCGGUAAUACGGAGGGUGCGAGCGUUGUCCGGAAUCACUGGGCGUAAAGGGCGCGUAGGCGGUCUGUUAAGCGUGCGGUGAAAGCCUGGGGCUCAACCCCAGGUCUGCCGUGCGAACUGGUGGACUUGAGCACUGUAGAGGCAGGUGGAAUUCCGGGUGUAGCGGUGGAAUGCGUAGAGAUCCGGAAGAACACCGGUGGCGAAGGCGGCCUGCUGGGCAGUAGCUGACGCUGAGGCGCGACAGCGUGGGGAGCAAACAGGAUUAGAUACCCCAGUAGUC